AGCAGCCGCGGUAAUUCCAGCUCCAAUAGCGUAUAUUAAAGUUGUUGCAGUUAAAAAGCUCGUAGUUGAAUUUCGGGGUCAGCAGGUUGGUCGUGCCUCUGGUACGCACUGGUUUCGCUGAUUCCUCCUUUCUGAAGAACUGUAAUGUCAUUAAUUUGGUGUUGCAGGGGAAACAGGACUGUUACUUUGAAAAAAUUAGAGUGUUUAAAGCAAGCUAACGCUUGAAUACAUUAGCAUGGAAUAAUGAAAUAGGACGUUUGAUCCUAUUUUGUUGGUUUCUAGGAUUGACGUAAUGAUUAAUAGGGAUAGUUGGGGGCAUUAGUAUUCAAUUGUCAGAGGUGAAAUUCUUGGAUUUAUUGAAGACUAACUACUGCGAAAGCAUUUGCCAAGGAUGUUUUCAUUAAUCAAGAACGAAAGUUAGGGGAUCGAAGACGAUCAGAUACCGUCGUAGUCUUAACCAUAAACUAUGCCGACUAGGGAUCGGAUGAUGUUAAUUUUUUAAUGUACUCAUUCGGCGCCU
RNAcentral lists this ribosomal RNA (520 nucleotides) under uncultured Glomus. RNAcentral's name for it is "SSU rRNA". It matches the Rfam family "Eukaryotic small subunit ribosomal RNA", at positions 569 to 1088 of the family's 1831-position model. Lineage: Eukaryota; Fungi; Glomeromycota; Glomeromycetes; Glomerales; Glomeraceae. The record is from RNAcentral.